Molecule: long non-coding RNA, 584 nt
Filed under: Dasypus novemcinctus (nine-banded armadillo)
Lineage: Eukaryota; Metazoa; Chordata; Mammalia; Cingulata; Dasypodidae
Description: lncRNA (ENSDNOG00000052469.1)
Source: RNAcentral
CCAUUUUUCAAAAGCCCAAUAGUCAUUUGUGCUACUAGCCAUGAUAUACACAAGGCAGAGAGAAUAUUUCCAUCCUCAGAAAAAUGCUCUCCUGGGCAGGUGCUCAGAGUCUGGCACUCUGCUCAUUGAAGUCAUCUAACACAAAGCGUGUCCACAAUAGUCAGAAUUUCAGGGUGAUAAGAUUGCAGGCAAGUGCUGGGAUGGUCUAGUUAAAUGGGGAAGUGAGAAGUUGAGAGAGGAUUGUUUCACCUGCUCGCUCUCAUUUGCAAACUGUUUGUCUUGUUGGAGGCCUCUGAUUGCACAUAGCCCAGGGAAGGUCUGAGAUCCCAGGGGAAAGAGCAUGAGGAUCUUGAGUAGCCAGCAUGGUCUCAACUGGAGAAGGAAGGGACAGAUGUGCCACUCUCUAUAAUAAUUUCUUGCUGAUGUUUGUGUUCUUAAAGAUUGGCUUGCAGAUUGGCAGUAUGACUCCACCAGCAGUGAUGAGGACAACAAUCAAAGCCUUACCACUGACAACUGCAAAGAUGGCAAACUGGAGGCCUCAGCCUGAACCUCAAAGGAACUGGAGAUUGUUUGGUGUUCGACGG